GGAGACUGCACCUGUAUCGCACAACUCCGUGAUGCGGGAAAGAUGAUAAUCAAGAGCGUGUCCUAUAUCACCAUUGAACCAGAUCAAGGGAACCAUCGUCAAUUGGCGACGCACCAAGUACACGGCACUGCGGCUUAGGUAUCCAGCUAAAGUACGGUGAGAACAAACGCAAGGGGAGAGAAUGCCUGUGGCGUAAGGAAAUAUCCAGGAAACAGAAGAAAAGGAUUUAUUUCG
Molecule: long non-coding RNA, 234 nt
Organism: Mobula hypostoma (lesser devil ray)
Lineage: Eukaryota; Metazoa; Chordata; Chondrichthyes; Myliobatiformes; Myliobatidae
Exons: 3
Source: RefSeq, a predicted model, not a curated record